CCUACGGGUGGCUGCAGUGGGGAAUAUUGGACAAUGGGCGAAAGCCUGAUCCAGCCAUGCCGCGUGUGUGAAGAAGGCCUUCGGGUUGUAAAGCACUUUCAGUGGGGAAGAAAGCCUUGGGGCUAAUACCCUCGAGGAAGGACAUCACCCACAGAAGAAGCACCGGCUAACUCCGUGCCAGCAGCCGCGGUAAUACGGAGGGUGCGAGCGUUAAUCGGAAUUACUGGGCGUAAAGCGCGCGUAGGCGGUCUGAUAAGCCGGUUGUGAAAGCCCCGGGCUCAACCUGGGAACGGCAUCCGGAACUGUCAGGCUAGAGUGCAGGAGAGGAAGGUAGAAUUCCCGGUGUAGCGGUGAAAUGCGUAGAGAUCUGGAGGAAUACCAGUGGCGAAGGCGGCCUUCUGGACUGACACUGACGCUGAGGUGCGAAAGCAUGGGUAGCAAACAGGAUUAGAUACCCGUGUAGUC
This 465-nucleotide ribosomal RNA is filed under the name Vreelandella stevensii. Its description in RNAcentral is "partial 16S ribosomal RNA". It matches the Rfam family "Bacterial small subunit ribosomal RNA", at positions 338 to 795 of the family's 1533-position model. The record is from RNAcentral. Lineage: Bacteria; Pseudomonadati; Pseudomonadota; Gammaproteobacteria; Oceanospirillales; Halomonadaceae.